GUGGGGAAUUUUGGACAAUGGGCGAAAGCCUGAUCCAGCAAUGCCGCGUGCAGGAUGAAGGCCCUCGGGUUGUAAACUGCUUUUGUACGGAACGAAAAGCCUGGGGCUAAUAUCCCCGGGUCAUGACGGUACCGUAAGAAUAAGCACCGGCUAACUACGUGCCAGCAGCCGCGGUAAUACGUAGGGUGCAAGCGUUAAUCGGAAUUACUGGGCGUAAAGCGUGCGCAGGCGGUUUUGUAAGACAGUGGUGAAAUCCCCGGGCUCAACCUGGGAACUGCCAUUGGGACUGCAAGGCUAGAGUGCGGCAGAGGGGGAUGGAAUUCCGCGUGUAGCAGUGAAAUGCGUAGAUAUGCGGAGGAACACCGAUGGCGAAGGCAAUCCCCUGGGCCUGCACUGACGCUCAUGCACGAAAGCGUGGGGAGCAAACAGGAUUAGAUACCCUAGUAGUCC
RNAcentral lists this ribosomal RNA (450 nucleotides) under uncultured bacterium. RNAcentral's name for it is "bacterial SSU rRNA". It matches the Rfam family "Bacterial small subunit ribosomal RNA", at positions 354 to 796 of the family's 1533-position model. The record is from RNAcentral.